Molecule: long non-coding RNA, 1368 nt
Organism: Orcinus orca (killer whale)
Lineage: Eukaryota; Metazoa; Chordata; Mammalia; Artiodactyla; Delphinidae
Exons: 4
Source: RefSeq, a predicted model, not a curated record
CAGAUGAUCACCAAAAAAUACUCUUGUCAUCAAGGCCUUAUAGGUAUCUGUGGGGUUCUGUCCACCUGGUACAGAGUUGGCAAGUUAAAGAAGCAAAGGAAACCGCACAGUGAUCACUCAGAUCUCCUAUGUUCCCUUUCAAACCUCUGAGGAAGGCAUCUGGGUGAACCUUUGCGGGAAAAGGAAAAUCCAAACCCAGUAAAGAACUUGUUCUGGACUUGUUCCCUUUCAACUCUCCCUGGUGAUUUCAGGGGAAGUUCUCUGGAGCACACAAUUCCAUAAACGUCGACAUUUCCAGGAUAUGAAGAUUCUGCUGCUCCGUUCUGAGCAAAGAGUUUAACAAGUCAAAUACAAAUCUCAGGGGACUUCAUAAGCCUCGUGAUGGUGCCAUGCAAAUUCAUCAAGGAAGGUGGCAUUUCUGGGAUAAAGGAAGAAGUAUAUGUUCUUGAAAGUCAGCAAUUUGGGUGGCUUUAUCUCUACAACUCGGAAGACAUUUGAAGAACGUUUGGUAAUUAAAUACGCCCUCAGCAGAGAAAUAAUGCUCUGGGUUGUCCUGCAGGUAAGUAGAAGGUAAGUGUUCUCUCUUACCUGGGUUUUAAGAAUUCUGCUUGGAAUCACGCGGGUGUUCCAAGUGUAUACAAUCUAUACAAUAAUAUGAGUAAAUGUCCUGGCUAAGAAACAGGCAGAAUACAUCUUCCUAGAGUCACAACAGCUAAGUCUUUCUUGGGAUUCAGAGUUCAGCUCAAUAUCUUCCCCUCCCACACGGAACCUUCUAAUCCACAUCAGCCCACUUUGUGUCAUCAUCUUCCUUUAUUUUUAUUUCACCAAUCAUUGUCUGAAAUGAUUGUCUUCAUUUGUUUUCUGGUUUGUUGAUGCCUCUGCCUGGUAGAAAAUCGCUCAUUGAGAGCGGGAUGUUGUUAUCUGUCUCCUUCACCACUGAUUCCCCAGCUCCUAGAAGCAGUGCCUGGUACCUUGCAGGUCUUCAAUAAGUAAGGAAUGAAUGAAUGAAUGAAUGAAAGCAGAAUUCUGACUACAGUAUAGUUCCAAAGAGAGUUAUAGAACAUUGGAUGGUUCAGAAGCUGGGUAUGAGAUAUGGCUGUAUAUGAUGUCUAAAAUGUAGUCUAAUGAGGUCAGGGAUUUUCUUCUUUUUCUUUUUUUUUUGCCCUGCAGCUUGUGGAAUCUUAGUUCCCCGACCAGGGAUUGAAUCCGGGCCACCAUAGUGAAAGAACAGAGUCCUAACCACUGGACUGCCAGGGAAUUCCUAGGAAUUUUCUUUAUACUUGAAAAGAAUCCCUACAACAUCAGGCACAGCAUAUGAUAUUUUAUACUGUUGGAGGUGGGUUAAUGCAGAGGUCUUGGGGAGAUGAC